AGUGAACGCUGGCGGUAGGCCUAACACAUGCAAGUCGAACGGCAGCACAGGAGAGCUUGCUCUCUGGGUGGCGAGUGGCGGACGGGUGAGGAAUACAUCGGAAUCUACUCUGUCGUGGGGGAUAACGUAGGGAAACUUACGCUAAUACCGCAUACGACCUACGGGUGAAAGCAGGGGACCUUCGGGCCUUGCGCGAUUGAAUGAGCCGAUGUCGGAUUAGCAAGUUGGCGGGGUAAAGGCCCACCAAGGGGACGAGCCGUUGCUGGUCUGAGAGGAUGAUCAGCCACACUGGAACUGAGACACGGUCCAGACUCCUACGGGAGGCAGCAGUGGGGAAUAUUGGACAAUGGGCGCAAGCCUGAUCCAGCCAUACCGCGUGGGUGAAGAAGGCCUUCGGGUUGUAAAGCCCUUUUGUUGGGAAAGAAAUCCAGCUGGCUAAUACCCGGUUGGGAUGACGGUACCCAAAGAAUAAGCACCGGCUAACUUCGUGCCAGCAGCCGCCGUAA
Molecule: ribosomal RNA, 506 nt
Filed under: uncultured bacterium
Lineage: Bacteria
Description: partial 16S ribosomal RNA
Rfam family: Bacterial small subunit ribosomal RNA
Source: RNAcentral